GACCCAACAGGAAGACAGGAGUGAGAGAGUCAGUGACGACUUUCCAUUGGGCUCUACCUGGCACGGGUCUCUGAAUCUCUUGCCAAGCUUGGGAGACCAAACUGCCAACCAUGAGCCUACAGGUAGCACGUGCAGCACCUUACCCUCUUCAAAUGAGUCUCUCCUUAUGCCAUCACUGUUGAUAUUGCAAAGGCAACAAGCAACCAAGAGCGGUAAACUUGAAGCCGUGCCACGUGAAAUGUAGCCCUACAAGUAAAGCCUAACUAGAAAACUUCCGAGAAACAAAUGAAAAGAAGAAAUCUUUGUGGUCUUGAGUUGGUCCAAGACCAUAUUUCUUAGAUACUUCGCCAUUGCCCAACAGACUCAUAAGCUGAACUGACCAGUGUGGAUUUUAACUUACCAGCAUAAAAUGAAACUGUACAGCUUAGAAGGAAAUGUUUACAAAAUACAUGUGUGACAAAGAACCCAAACAACCUGUACCAAGAACUCUCAGAAACACAAUCCUGAGAAAACAAUCCAAUUAAAAACAGGGCCAGAGAUAUCGUUACCAAGGAAAACAUAAGAUCCCUAAGCAAUCAAGAACAAGAUCCCAAUGUCAACUCCUGGUCUCCUGCACAUGCACCCAAUAUGUGCACAUAUGUGCUUAUGUCAUCACACCCAGAUAAAAGUUCAACACUCAACCAUCCAGCUGACAAGGAAAAAUACAUCCAUGCAAAGGUUGGAACUGAAAAGUUCUGAGCAACCAUUUUGUCAUGAUCAAAUCCUCAGAACAACUCCUGUGUCUAUGGGGGUACUAAUAAGCAAAAUUCUGUUAUGAACAAAAAAAUUGAAAGAAAUAAAUCUGCAAAUCCUCCUGCUGAGUGGAA
Molecule: long non-coding RNA, 866 nt
Organism: Mastomys coucha (southern multimammate mouse)
Lineage: Eukaryota; Metazoa; Chordata; Mammalia; Rodentia; Muridae
Exons: 2
Source: RefSeq, a predicted model, not a curated record